GCGGGUGUAGCUCAAUGGUAGAGUUCUGGCCUUCCAAGCCAGCUGUGAGGGUUCGAUCCCCUUCACCCGC
Molecule: transfer RNA, 70 nt
Filed under: Clostridioides difficile
Lineage: Bacteria; Bacillati; Bacillota; Clostridia; Peptostreptococcales; Peptostreptococcaceae
Description: tRNA-Gly
Rfam family: tRNA
About the family: Transfer RNA (tRNA) molecules are approximately 80 nucleotides in length. Their secondary structure includes four short double-helical elements and three loops (D, anti-codon, and T loops).
Source: RNAcentral